This is a long non-coding RNA of Lates calcarifer (barramundi perch), 1031 nucleotides long. RefSeq lists it as uncharacterized. The record is from RefSeq and is a predicted model, not a curated record. Lineage: Eukaryota; Metazoa; Chordata; Actinopteri; Centropomidae. The transcript has 3 exons.
AGAGACAUUGUUGAGGAUGAGGGAGACAUCGUCCACGAUCAGAGACGUUGCCUGUGAUCGCAGAGACUUUGUCAAAGAUGAGAGAGACGUUGUCCAUAAUCAGAGACAUUGUCCCAUGCUUCGUAGAGCUCUGCGCAAGAAUCGGUAGAGACACUGUGGUUCCUCGAUUCGACGGCAUGACCGCGAUCAUGGAGACAUUGUUGAUGGUCACCGAGACACCGUCUAUGAUCUCAGAGACAUCGUCCACGAUCAUAAAGACAUUGUCUAUGAUCAUAGAGACUUUGUCCAUAAUCUCAGAGACAUUGUCCGUGAUCACAGAGACGUAGUCCACGAUCGCAGAGAGUCUUCGUACAAUGAGGAAGUUCUUUGAGACCAGGACAGAGGCCUCCAGGUGUCACCACUUCGUCCACGUCAUCGUCCAUAAUCGUAGAGACAUGGUCCAUGAUCGGAGAGACAUUGUUGAGGAUGAGGGAGACAUCGUCCACGAUCAGAGACAUUGUCUAUGAUCACAGAGACUUUGUCAAAGAUGAGAGAGACGUUGUCCUUGAUCAGAGACAUUGUCCCCUGCUUCGUAGAGACCUUGCGAUAGAAUCGGCGGAGACGGGGGUCACCGAUUUGACGGCACUGCCCGCGAUCAGGGACAUUGUCGAUGGUCACAGAGACACCGUCUAUGAUCUCAGAGACAUCGUCCACGAUCACAAAGACAUUGUCCAUGAUCACAGAGACUUUGUCCAUAAUCUCAGAGACAUUGUCCGCGAUCACAGAGACGUAGUCCACGAUCACAGAGUCUUUGUACAAUGAAGAAGUUCUUUGAGACCAGGACAGAGGCCUCCAGGUGUCACCACUCCGUCCACGUCAUCGUCUACGAUCGCAGAGACAUGGUCCAUGAUCGGAGAGACAUUGUUGAGGAUGAGGGAGACAUCGUCCACGAUCAGAGACGUCGUCUGUGAUCGCAGAGACCUUGUCAAAGAUGAGAGAGACGUUGUCCUUGAUCAGAGACAUUGUCCCAUGCUUCGUAGAGACCUUGCGAU